GGGUGGAGCACAGCUUGCACUGCAAGGGAAUGAAGCCAAUGCGAAGGCCCAGAGGGAAGGGAAGCGUUGUCAGAGUCUGGUGGAGAAGACACAAGAAUUUGGAGACAGCAGAGGAUACAGAGAGUCAGCCAAAUAAACUGGUUGGAUCACCUGUUCCAGUGCUUCCUACCACCAUACAGAACCUUCAUAAAUACCACUCAAAGAAGGCUCACUAUCAAUACUGUUGGUCCGUUUUCUCUGGAGGAGAAUGUGUCUCUGCUGGCUAAGGCUUUCUUUAUCUCGUCCCACUCUACUACAGCCUGCAGACCCACCCAAGACUGAGGGUGCUCAAAGCUCAGAAGGCAAAGGACUCCUUGCCACUCAACAGUAUCAGCUCAACACCUCAGCCAAGAAGAAUCAGGGAGCACAGGCACACACUCACCAUGCUGAACAGACAGCGAGGACCACAUUUUUAUUAUCUGAUUCCUAUUUGACCAUCUGAUGUGCAAAUUUUACCUAUCAUGUUGCCUUUGCUCCAGAUCUAGGUGAGAUCAGAUGGAAUGGAGGCUCCAUCUGGUCUUCAGGAAGUCUCAAGUUUUCACUGAUCUACAUAAAAUCUCAGAGCAAGGCAAUUUGGAUUGAGUGAGUCCAAACCCAGUGCCUUCUCCUUUGACCCUGGCACAGAUACACUGGCCAAGAGAUGGGUCCAAAGUCAUCCCACUCCAUCAAAGCCAUCACUGUCAGGAGUGAUAACAUAGCCCACAUUUUUCAUAUGUUUUCAAGAUCUCAAAAUUUCUACUGAAUAUUACAGGAGGGCAGGUGCCUUUAUCCGCCAGUACAUCAUCUUCAAUAUCAGUGAUUUUCAAUUUCCUGCUUCCAUUCAAUUGAAUACUUUGUUGGAAAAAAUUACAUGUGAAGUCCACUAUAGAAAAUAAAUUUGUAACAACUGG
This 929-nucleotide long non-coding RNA is filed under the name Homo sapiens (human). RNAcentral describes it as "HSALNT0297554". The record is from RNAcentral. Lineage: Eukaryota; Metazoa; Chordata; Mammalia; Primates; Hominidae.